GGGGUCCCAGGACAAGGGAAGAGAUGAGAAUCUUGACUCCAUGUUUCAGAAGGCUGAUUUAUUAUUUUAUGAUAUAUAUUAAAAGAAAAUGAUAUAUUAAAACUAUACUAAAAGAAUAGAAGAAAGGAUUUCAUCAGAAGGCCAGCAAGGAAAGAAAUGGAAUGGAAUGAUAAUAAAAUCUUGUGACUGACCAGAGAGUCCAAGACAGCUGGAGGGUGAUUGGCCAUUAAUUAAAAACAACCACAUGAGACCAAUCAAAGAUGCACCUGUUGCAUUCCACAGCAGCAGAUAAUCAUUGUUUACAGUUAAUUUCUGAGGCCUCUCAGCUUCUCAGGAGAAAAGAUCCUAGCAAAAGGAUUUUUCAUAAAAUAUGUCCAUGACAUAUUAGACCAUUAUGAGUUGAUAUCUCACCCUGCAGAGUUGCACAGUUGCUGCUCUAUAGUGAGUGUUUAGUUAGUUGUACCCAGACCACGUGGAACAGAGGAGUUGCAGGGGCUCUAAAGGCUCUCACUACCCACUCCUUGGGUAGUCCACAUGGUUCUGCUUCAGCAUGACUGCCAUGCCUGGGUUUACCUUCGUUGAUUGAGGCAGAAUUUGGAAUAAAAUGUAAAAUUUCAAGGAGUUGCUGAGGCCAAAGCAAUGUUUCCAGUGUAAGGCAUGGAUUUGUUUUGGUUAAGUAUUGAAAUCCUCUUUAUCCUAGAGGUAGUAAAAUUCUUUUUCUUUGCAUUAAUAACUUUUCUUUAUGUUUUUUUCAAAGCAGGGUAAAGAUGACUCCUGUUCCCUGCUGUUCAGAGGGAGCCUCCUGUGCUUCAGCGUGUGCCCACUGCUCCAGGGCUGUCACUGGGCGCCACGGGGAAGAGCCUGGCUCCAUCCUCCUCGCACUGUCUGUGCCUUCCCUUCUGUAUCGUCCUUCCAGGAGACAUCAGAGUGGUUGAAGUCCCCUAUGAAGACCAGGGCCCGAGACUCAAAACCUGAGUCUAGACACAGGAAGGAUGAGGAGGACCAGAGUUUUAUCACCAUCUUCUCAUUUUGCAUCACACUUCAGCAUCUUCACCCAUAA
RNAcentral lists this long non-coding RNA (1060 nucleotides) under Junco hyemalis (dark-eyed junco). RNAcentral describes it as "lncRNA (ENSJHYG00000000689.1)". The record is from RNAcentral. Lineage: Eukaryota; Metazoa; Chordata; Aves; Passeriformes; Passerellidae.